Molecule: long non-coding RNA, 362 nt
Filed under: Ricinus communis (castor bean)
Lineage: Eukaryota; Viridiplantae; Streptophyta; Magnoliopsida; Malpighiales; Euphorbiaceae
Description: long non-coding RNA (RCOM_LNC002656)
Source: RNAcentral
AACCGCGUGCAUACCGAUAUUAAUCAGAGGUAGGUAAUAAAAGAAUAUUUUUGGGAUUUGCCCUAGUUGAGUAUAACUCUCUCGACUGUGAGAAUUUGAUUGCCGGAAGAAAGGUCUUUUGUCGAGCAUUGCUAUCUGGGCGUCGGCUAUAUUAGAAAUCAAGUGACCAGACGAGAUUUAAGGACUCUGGUUAAGCUUCGCUCUUUAGAUGCCCGUCCUAUUAGAAUAAGAGAGCCGAAAUGCUGCUAGUAUUGGGGUUAGGAUUCUGCUGAAGUGCUUGUACCUUAUGAGUUAAACAUUAAUUAUUUUAAAUUAUGCUAUGGCAUGAACUUGUUAUUUUGUGAUAUUUCACAUAUUUUAUC